UACGGGGGGAGCAAGCGUUGUUCGGAUUUACUGGGCGUAAAGGGCGCGUAGGCGGUCAGCACAAGUCAGUUGUGAAAUCUCCGGGCUUAACUCGGAAAGGUCAACUGAUACUGUGCGACUAGAGUGCGGAAGGGGCAACUGGAAUUCUCGGUGUAGCGGUGAAAUGCGUAGAUAUCGAGAGGAACACCUGCGGCGAAGGCGGGUUGCUGGGCCGACACUGACGCUGAUGCGCGAAAGCCAGGGGAGAACGGG
This 252-nucleotide ribosomal RNA is filed under the name uncultured bacterium. RNAcentral's name for it is "partial 16S ribosomal RNA". It matches the Rfam family "Bacterial small subunit ribosomal RNA", at positions 524 to 776 of the family's 1533-position model. The record is from RNAcentral.